Molecule: ribosomal RNA, 2774 nt
Filed under: Enterobacter cloacae
Lineage: Bacteria; Pseudomonadati; Pseudomonadota; Gammaproteobacteria; Enterobacterales; Enterobacteriaceae
Description: bacterial LSU rRNA
Rfam family: Bacterial large subunit ribosomal RNA
Source: RNAcentral
AGCGUACACGGUGGAUGCCCUGGCAGUCAGAGGCGAUGAAGGACGUGCUAAUCUGCGAAAAGCGCCGGCGAGGUGAUAUGAACCUUUGACCCGGCGAUGUCCGAAUGGGGAAACCCAGUGCAAUUCGUUGCACUAUCGUUAACUGAAUACAUAGGUUAACGAGGCGAACCGGGGGAACUGAAACAUCUAAGUACCCCGAGGAAAAGAAAUCAACCGAGAUUCCCCCAGUAGCGGCGAGCGAACGGGGAGCAGCCCAGAGUCUGAAUCAGCUUGUGUGUUAGUGGAAGCGUCUGGAAAGUCGCACGGUACAGGGUGACAGUCCCGUACACGAAAGCACACAGGCUGUGAACUCGAAGAGUAGGGCGGGACACGUGGUAUCCUGUCUGAAUAUGGGGGGACCAUCCUCCAAGGCUAAAUACUCCUGACUGACCGAUAGUGAACCAGUACCGUGAGGGAAAGGCGAAAAGAACCCCGGCGAGGGGAGUGAAAAAGAACCUGAAACCGUGUACGUACAAGCAGUGGGAGCACCUUCGUGGUGUGACUGCGUACCUUUUGUAUAAUGGGUCAGCGACUUAUAUUCUGUAGCAAGGUUAACCGUAUAGGGGAGCCGAAGGGAAACCGAGUCUUAACUGGGCGUUAAGUUGCAGGGUAUAGACCCGAAACCCGGUGAUCUAGCCAUGGGCAGGUUGAAGGUUGGGUAACACUAACUGGAGGACCGAACCGACUAAUGUUGAAAAAUUAGCGGAUGACUUGUGGCUGGGGGUGAAAGGCCAAUCAAACCGGGAGAUAGCUGGUUCUCCCCGAAAGCUAUUUAGGUAGCGCCUCGUGAACUCAUCUUCGGGGGUAGAGCACUGUUUCGGCUAGGGGGCCAUCCCGGCUUACCAACCCGAUGCAAACUACGAAUACCGAAGAAUGUUAUCACGGGAGACACACGGCGGGUGCUAACGUCCGUCGUGAAGAGGGAAACAACCCAGACCGCCAGCUAAGGUCCCAAAGUCAUGGUUAAGUGGGAAACGAUGUGGGAAGGCACAGACAGCCAGGAUGUUGGCUUAGAAGCAGCCAUCAUUUAAAGAAAGCGUAAUAGCUCACUGGUCGAGUCGGCCUGCGCGGAAGAUGUAACGGGGCUAAACCAUGCACCGAAGCUGCGGCAGCGACGCGUAUGCGUUGUUGGGUAGGGGAGCGUUCUGUAAGCCGUUGAAGGUGUGCUGUGAGGCAUGCUGGAGGUAUCAGAAGUGCGAAUGCUGACAUAAGUAACGAUAAAGCGGGUGAAAAGCCCGCUCGCCGGAAGACCAAGGGUUCCUGUCCAACGUUAAUCGGGGCAGGGUGAGUCGACCCCUAAGGCGAGGCCGAAAGGCGUAGUCGAUGGGAAACAGGUUAAUAUUCCUGUACUUGGUGUUACUGCGAAGGGGGGACGGAGAAGGCUAUGUUAGCCGGGCGACGGUUGUCCCGGUUUAAGCAUGUAGGCGGAGGUUCCAGGUAAAUCCGGUACCUUUUAACGCUGAGGUGUGAUGACGAGGCACUACGGUGCUGAAGUAACAAAUGCCCUGCUUCCAGGAAAAGCCUCUAAGCAUCAGGUAACACGAAAUCGUACCCCAAACCGACACAGGUGGUCAGGUAGAGAAUACCAAGGCGCUUGAGAGAACUCGGGUGAAGGAACUAGGCAAAAUGGUGCCGUAACUUCGGGAGAAGGCACGCUGAUAUGUAGGUGAAGCCCCUGCGGGUGGAGCUGAAAUCAGUCGAAGAUACCAGCUGGCUGCAACUGUUUAUUAAAAACACAGCACUGUGCAAACACGAAAGUGGACGUAUACGGUGUGACGCCUGCCCGGUGCCGGAAGGUUAAUUGAUGGGGUUAGCGGCAACGCGAAGCUCUUGAUCGAAGCCCCGGUAAACGGCGGCCGUAACUAUAACGGUCCUAAGGUAGCGAAAUUCCUUGUCGGGUAAGUUCCGACCUGCACGAAUGGCGUAAUGAUGGCCAGGCUGUCUCCACCCGAGACUCAGUGAAAUUGAACUCGCUGUGAAGAUGCAGUGUACCCGCGGCAAGACGGAAAGACCCCGUGAACCUUUACUAUAGCUUGACACUGAACACUGGUCCUUGAUGUGUAGGAUAGGUGGGAGGCUUUGAAGCGUGGACGCCAGUCUGCGUGGAGCCGUCCUUGAAAUACCACCCUUUAAUGGCUGGUGUUCUAACGUAGACCCGUAAUCCGGGUUGCGGACAGUGUCUGGUGGGUAGUUUGACUGGGGCGGUCUCCUCCCAAAGAGUAACGGAGGAGCACGAAGGUUAGCUAAUCCUGGUCGGACAUCAGGAGGUUAGUGCAAUGGCAUAAGCUAGCUUGACUGCGAGAGUGACGGCUCGAGCAGGUGCGAAAGCAGGUCAUAGUGAUCCGGUGGUUCUGAAUGGAAGGGCCAUCGCUCAACGGAUAAAAGGUACUCCGGGGAUAACAGGCUGAUACCGCCCAAGAGUUCAUAUCGACGGCGGUGUUUGGCACCUCGAUGUCGGCUCAUCACAUCCUGGGGCUGAAGUAGGUCCCAAGGGUAUGGCUGUUCGCCAUUUAAAGUGGUACGCGAGCUGGGUUUAGAACGUCGUGAGACAGUUCGGUCCCUAUCUGCCGUGGGCGCUGGAGAAUUGAGGGGGGCUGCUCCUAGUACGAGAGGACCGGAGUGGACGCAUCACUGGUGUUCGGGUUGUCAUGCCAAUGGCACUGCCCGGUAGCUAAAUGCGGAAAAGAUAAGUGCUGAAAGCAUCUAAGCACGAAACUUGCCCCGAGAUGAGUUCU